GCUCUGGAUCAUCAACAGACGUGCUUGAGAGGAUGUUGAAGAUCUUCUUAAAAUUUGAGAGGCUCACGACACUCGUAGCUCACCUUCUCACUUCCCGAUCUCCAGGCUGAAACCUUGAAGAACUCAUUGAAACCCUACACACUAUUUUUUCUUUCUUUUCUUUCUUUUUCUCUCGGAAGGAUAUAGACCUUCACCUUGCAACCAAGGAUUCCUCACACCC
This 220-nucleotide long non-coding RNA is filed under the name Elaeis guineensis (African oil palm). Its description in RNAcentral is "long non-coding RNA (EGUI_LNC057844)". The record is from RNAcentral. Lineage: Eukaryota; Viridiplantae; Streptophyta; Magnoliopsida; Arecales; Arecaceae.